GACGUAGGGCGCGAGCGUUGUCCGGAUUUAUUGGGCGUAAAGAGCUCGUAGGCGGUUCGUCGCGUCGUCCGUGAAAACUCACAGCUUAACUGUGAGCUUGCGGUCGAUACGGGCAGGCUAGAGUUCGGUAGGGGAGACUGGAAUUCCUGGUGUAGCGGUGAAAUGCGCAGAUAUCAGGAGGAACACCGGUGGCGAAGGCGGGUCUCUGGGCCGUAACUGACGCUGAGGAGCGAAAGCGUGGGGAGCGAACAGG
This 253-nucleotide ribosomal RNA is filed under the name uncultured bacterium. RNAcentral's name for it is "partial 16S ribosomal RNA". It matches the Rfam family "Bacterial small subunit ribosomal RNA", at positions 524 to 776 of the family's 1533-position model. The record is from RNAcentral.